CAACUGCUGUAAAUUUUUUACUCUGUUCACUCCAAGUGAUAAAUUGAUUUAUGUUACAUUUCUCAAUAACCUAUACGAUUAUUAAUCUUUGAAUUUAUUAGCCAGAAAGCGUAGAGGUUAUUGAGAAAUGUAAUAUAAAUCAAUUUAUCACUUGGAAUGAACAGAGUAAAAAAUUUACAGCAGUUGUGAUCCACGUACAAUAUUGGCAUUUGUAGUUGAACUAAGUAAGCUUUCGCCAGAGAUAACCUUUAGAAGCUGACAAGUACUUCACUUUUGGGAACACAAAACCAGCCCUUGGAGGGUUUCCAUCCACAAGCGAAUUCUCAUAAAUUUCUUUGCACUCUUGUGCGACCUGGUAAGGAAAUUGGGGUUGGUGGAACAAACGGAGGAGGAGGUGAAAAUGGGGGAGAACCUGGGCAAGGAUGCCCAGUAACUGGCCCACACAAAUCCAAAUUAUUAGCAAAACUGAUGGGAGUGAACAUUGAGAAGGAACCAUUAUCUGGAACAACGCCAGAGAGACGGUUGUUUGAUAGAUCCAACACUUGAAGUGAUGAAAUAUUAGUCAAUGGCAUAGGAAUGCGACCCGUCAAGCUGUUGUUGUUAAGCCGGAGAAAUCGUAAUUUUGACAGCUUGCCCAAACUUUCUGGGAUGGGACCAGUAAAACUAUUCAAGUAAAGAUCCAAGCUCACCAAGCUAGUCAAGUUACCAAGAUCACCAGGAAUUGGUCCGCUUAUGUUAUUACUGUAGAGCUCCAAGUAUUGCAAGUUUUUAAGCAGGCCAAGUUGCGGAACAAGCUGACCAGACAAAGCAGCAUUUCCAAGAUCAACUCUUAUAACACUAUUAUCAUUGUUGCAGGUGACAUGAAACCAUGUGCAAGGGUUGACAAGGGUAGGAUCCCAACUCUGCAGGACAUUGUUUGGAUCAAUCAAGUUGCUUCUCAGGCUGUGCAAAGCAUUACCUUCGGUAUNUUACCCAAAGCCAGCCAUAAUGGAUGCAGCAGAAAGAUCAGCCACACCCCAACCUUCCUCUCCAUCACCACUAAACAAACACGCACACUCCCCUCGAAACUUUAACUUCUCAAUCUCCUCAGAUCCAAACAACAGUACACCAAAACCCAGCUCACCAUCACCCAACAAAAGAAACAGAGAGAAGAAGAAGAAGAAGAAGAAGAAGAAGAAAGAAGAAAAACCAACGAAACCCUUUCUAAAAUCUCCAGAAUAACCCCACCAUUAUCUCCUAAAUUAUCUCCUUAAAAUCACAUCCCAAAAGCAACAAGGCCCCGAUCCCUCCCUCCUCUCUCAUUAACAUGCUCCAAAAAAUAGGAAAACUUAACAGAGAAAAAAAAUAGGGAAAAUGAGAACAACAAAACAGAAAGAAAUUCAAAACAUUUUUCAC
RNAcentral lists this unclassified non-coding RNA (1395 nucleotides) under Hevea brasiliensis (rubber tree). The record is from RNAcentral. Lineage: Eukaryota; Viridiplantae; Streptophyta; Magnoliopsida; Malpighiales; Euphorbiaceae.